AAGCCAGACUCCUACGGGAGGCAGCAGUGGGGAAUAUUGCACAAUGGGGGAAACCCUGAUGCAGCGACGCCGCGUGAGUGAAGAAGUAUUUCGGUAUGUAAAGCUCUAUCAGCAGGGAAGAAAAUGACGGUACCCGACCAAGAAGCCCCGGCUAACUACGUGCCAGCAGCCGCGGUAAUACGUAGGGGGCAAGCGUUAUCCGGAUUCACUGGGUGUAAAGGGAGCGUAGACGGCGAGACAAGUCUGGAGUGAAAGGCCGGGGCCCAACCCCGGGACUGCUCUGGAAACUGCCUGGCUGGAGUACAGGAGAGGUAAGUGGAAUUCCUAGUGUAGCGGUGAAAUGCAUAGAUAUCACGCAGAACCCCGAUUGCGAAGGCAGCAUACCGGUGCACAACUGACGCUCAGGCACGAAAGCGUGGGUAUCGAACAGGAUUAGAUACCCCUGUA
This 447-nucleotide ribosomal RNA is filed under the name uncultured bacterium. RNAcentral describes it as "partial 16S ribosomal RNA". It matches the Rfam family "Bacterial small subunit ribosomal RNA", at positions 328 to 792 of the family's 1533-position model. The record is from RNAcentral.